CUGAGGAAUCUAACAGACACCCACCACCUCCUCACAGCAAGACGCAUCUACAGACUGAUACAACAGCACCUGGAGGAGAGCCGCAAGGAGCUCAGCCAGGAGCCUGUGAGUGUCCCAGCCCUUGAUCCCGUCUCUUUCUCUGAUUGGGUGGGUCUGUACCUGCGGAACAGUGACGGACAGGUGGAGUUCAGUCUGGUCCUUGUCUCAGUUCUGUCCCAGUUCAUCCAAGAACUCAAGAGUCCAGACCAGGCCUUCAAAGAUGAGGAGUGGUGGAACCCCGAGCAUCUGGACACUAACACCUGCUGUUACCUGAGCUGCUCGCUAAGAUGCUGUGUCUUCUGAUGGGCGGGGCUUCAGACGGACCAAUCACAGCGCAGUACAGACCACUGCUGAAGCUCCUCUUUAAGGUGCACCUGGGCUCUCCACUGCUCGUCUUCCGUUUCCUGUCCCUGAUCUGGAGCUGCAACGCUCUCCAGGGCGACCAGUUGGAGGGGCGGGGCCAUGUGCGUCUGGGGGCGGUGCUUCAGAUGCAGGCGCUGCUCAUGGGCGCCGCCCUGCUGGAAAACCAGAGCUCAAAGCAACUACAGGA
Long non-coding RNA from Periophthalmus magnuspinnatus, 589 nucleotides. RefSeq lists it as uncharacterized. The transcript is spliced from 4 exons. The record is from RefSeq and is a predicted model, not a curated record. NCBI's taxonomy places the organism in Eukaryota, Metazoa, Chordata, Actinopteri, Gobiiformes, Gobiidae.